ACAUCGCUGCACGCUGGCACAGCUCACGUAACCAAACGGGUCCACAAGACAUUUUCACGAAGACGCUGUCACCCUCCAAACUGCAGAGGGCGGUAAUACACCACAAAGUACGAAACUGUAACCACAUCAACGCUGGGUCAGCUGCGCAUGAGCACAAGAGGAGACGGCGACAGCGUGCGGCUUUCGUUUUGUUUUUUUGCAGGUGUCUGAUGCUCGUUCCAUGCUGAUGCUAUGAGCAGUCGCAGGAUUUUUCACGUCGGUAUCAUCCUGGGCGCCGCCGGCGUUGUGGCAGGCUUCUGGAUGAUUAGUGACGCCAGCGAGGAGCGCAGAAAGAACAUUUUGAAGCACCUACCCAGUUCAUCACAGAUGGAGCAGACCAAACAUUGGAAUGACGUCCAGUUCCAGAUACUGAAAAAGGCAGCAGAAACUGAUGAAAACAUUACAAGGAAUAUUGGCAAAUAAGACCUUCCUUUCAAAGACAUUUAGUUUGUGCCCUUCCUAUGACUUUCUGGGCCUUCAUUCUUCAGUAGCACCUUGAGCAGAAAAGAAAUAUAAACCAGGCAAAAUCAUUUUGGAGUAUCACAUUUGUUUUUGAUGGAGUUUUAAGGAUGACUUGGUUUAAUGCGUCCAUACAAACAAUUUCUAAAGAUUUAGAAAUUGUUAAAUGAUUGAAAAAAAAUAUGGUGGUCACCAUACCUGCAUUUUUUUACUCUGUCAUUUGUCAGUAAAUGUAAAGAUUUUCAGGGCAUUAAAAAUUAAAAGAGAAUUACAAAGUG
Long non-coding RNA from Erpetoichthys calabaricus (reedfish), 776 nucleotides. RefSeq lists it as uncharacterized. The record is from RefSeq and is a predicted model, not a curated record. Lineage: Eukaryota; Metazoa; Chordata; Cladistia; Polypteriformes; Polypteridae. The transcript is spliced from 2 exons.